CUUGACAACUAUAAGAGGUCUGGCCUGCCCAGUGAUAAAUUCAACGGCCGCGGUAUCCUAACCGCGCGAAGGUAGCAUAAUCACUUGUUCUUUAAAUAGGGACUUGUAUCAACGGCAUCACGAGGGUUACACUGUCUCCUCUCUCUAAUCAGUGAAACUGAUCUCCCCGUGAAGAAGCGGGGAUGGACUAAUAAGACGAGAAGACCCCAUGGAGCUUUAAACCUCACAGCAACUCUAAUACCCAACCCCUCAUAACUUAUAGAGCAGUGCACGUCGGUUUUAGGUUGGGGCGACCGCGGAGUAAAAAUUACCCUCCACGACGAAAAGAACUAAAUCUUUAUUUAAGAGCAACCGCUCUAUAAAUUAGUAUACUAACGAACAAUGAUCCGAUAAUCGAUCAACGGACCA
Molecule: ribosomal RNA, 408 nt
Filed under: Rhacophorus rhodopus
Lineage: Eukaryota; Metazoa; Chordata; Amphibia; Anura; Rhacophoridae
Description: partial 16S ribosomal RNA
Rfam family: Bacterial large subunit ribosomal RNA
Source: RNAcentral